UACGUAGGUGGCGAGCGUUGUCCGGAUUUAUUGGGCGUAAAGGGCGCGCAGGUGGUGCGGUAAGACUGCCGUGAAAUCUCCUGGCUCAACUGGGAGGGUGCGGUGGAGACUGCCGGACUAGAGGCACUCAGAGGCCGGUGGAAUUCCCGGUGUAGUGGUGAAAUGCGUAGAGAUCGGGAGGAACACCAGUGGCGAAGGCGGCCAGCUGGGCCAGGUCCGACACUGAGGCGCGAAAAGCGUGGGGGAGCAAACAGG
RNAcentral lists this ribosomal RNA (255 nucleotides) under uncultured bacterium. RNAcentral's name for it is "partial 16S ribosomal RNA". It matches the Rfam family "Bacterial small subunit ribosomal RNA", at positions 524 to 776 of the family's 1533-position model. The record is from RNAcentral.